AAGGGCCUGUAGAAUCAACUGGUUAACUCUCUGGGACAAAGGACAGAGCUGCAUGAACUAAAUCCACGACCGUCGGCGUGUACGACGGUAUCUAAAAAACCUCUGUCAGCAAAGAUACACUAGCUCUAAAAGACUCACAUGGCUAAAAAGACCCAUAAGGAUCCACCGGGAAGGAGAAGUCGGUAUAAGAUCUCAUUGUGCUUUAACCAGUAAAAUCUGACAUCCUCGCUUCCUGUGAACUCUCCCCAGGCUAUCUGGGAGAUGUGUACUCCACGAACAUCCAAAAGGGUGCGGUAUGCUGAGGCAUUAGAUUUAUACCUAGAGCAUAAAAUACUAUUUAUAUGAGAGCCCAAAGAUUUUAAGAGAUUAAUUAUGUAUGCUUAAUUAUAAGUCAAAUGCCUAAAAUAUAUCAUUAGAAGCUACAAAACUUUGAGUAGCCACUAAGAUGCUUAUAGGGGCAAAUCAUAAUUGAGCCCGCUAAAUUUAUUUGUAGUCAGGCAUUCUAUAUCUUUAUUUAUAUGAUUAUGUAAUACCUUUGUAGAGGGUCACAAAUACUUUUUUAGGGACUAACAAACUUACGAAGGCUCAUAAAAUUUGAAAUCUUUAUUUUGUGUCUUUGCCAUCAAAAUAUCUAUUUAGCUUAUUAUAAACAAGGCCAUAAAUAUAUUUUAAAUAAAUUGGAUCAAAAAAUGUCACUUAUGUCGUAUGAAAAAUAUAGGGAUUUUUACAUACAUGUCACUUUAUAACAUGUGUAUUACAUAUUUAACACCUAAUUCUUAAAUAUUACACUCCUACCACCUAUUUUUUAUUUUCACAACAAAAUUACCACUCCGUUAACCAGCAACCUCACUUCGUUUUUUUUUUUCCUUCCCUUCUGUGAUUUUCGCGGGAGAACAGGUUUCAGCGAAACCUUGUUUAUCCCUCUAAGCUGCUCUUCCAACUUUGCUGCUCUUCCAUGCGAGCAAACUUUAUUCCCGCCUGUGCUUUUCACGGAGAACCGCUUUCCAACCGAAAUGAAAGUUCUGUAACCUGCUUCUAUCUAAAUGAAAGUUCUGUAACCUGCUGCUAUCCAACCGAAACUUCCCAAUAUAAAAACGUGAAGCAAUAACCUUUUAUGCAAAUGGCGGUUUAACACAAACAGCAAAUUUCAGUGGGAAGAGCUGAAGGAGCAGACAAUUUAGGGCGGGGUAGUGUGAAAUGAAGCGAAGAAGGGACGGAGUGAGAGGGAGUGGUAUUUUUGAGGUUAAGUUUGUAUUUGAGUGGUAUAAAUGAAAUAUUUAAGUUUUGUGUUAAAUAUGUAAUACACAUGUUAUAAA
Long non-coding RNA from Dendrobium catenatum, 1316 nucleotides. RefSeq lists it as uncharacterized. NCBI's taxonomy places the organism in Eukaryota, Viridiplantae, Streptophyta, Magnoliopsida, Asparagales, Orchidaceae. The transcript is spliced from 2 exons. The record is from RefSeq and is a predicted model, not a curated record.